AGAGAAAACGUGGCUCUGAAUAAAUCCGGGUUUGGGGCUGGAACAAAGGGAGGGGUCACGUUCCAGUUCGGGGUCGUCUUCUCCACCCUGCCGUCUGCUCCCGGGCUCUUCGUACUGCCGGCGUCCUGCCAGGGGUUUCCCAAGCUCUCCCAAAGGGCUGGGUUUGGUUUGCCAGCCCUUGGGAAUCCCUGGAGUCUCCAGGCUGGUGCGAAGAGCGGACGGGGAAGAGGGUCCGAGGCACGAGGAGGAGGAGGCUCCUCGUGGCGGGGGUGGGGUGGGGGUGGGGGGGAUCGCUUGAAUCGGCCCCCCUCCAGCGGGCUUCCGUUGUCACGUGACUGCAUCCCAGGUCUUCCAAGUGUGGGGCUGGCGCGCUCCCAAGCUAUCCUCCUCCAGACUGGACCGAGCGCUAGCGGGGCUUGGGCGGCAGCCUGGGCGGCUCCUUCUCCCUCGAGGAGCUACCGACACCUGCCCCCCCCCAAGUUUGCCGCUCGGGCCCCACGCGCGCCCGGGCUCCCACAGCAGGGCUCAGAUGUUGCAGAUGCCGAGAGAGCUGCCCUCAAGAGCUUUUGGCCAGACAGGUAAUUACUACCCACUACAGGGGGAACUACAGUUGCUGGAAGGUGAGUUUGCCUCAAGACUGCAAAACUUUACAAAGUGCUCCCCUUGAUGGAAGGGGGCCCUGCCUGCAGAAACACCCAGAUGCCCAGCAGUCAAUCCAUGGUGAAGAAAUCAAAGAUGAGAGGCCAGGGAGUGAGGGAACAGGGUUGCCAGUUGGGCACACCCGACGCCCCUCCCAGAAACUUCCCAAGGAACAAGCCCAGAAAUUGGGCCUCUGCUGCCCUCUAAUGGAGGAAAGCCAGACUCUAGAGCUGCCUACCGGGGCCCAGCCGUCCUGGCUCUCCUAAAGAAAAGGGGACGUGAAGGACCUUCCUGCCCCCAGAAUUUUUAUUCCCCUAGAGUCUCGAGCUUCAUUUCCUACAGCCUCAGAAGCUGAAACUUCUCUCCUUCCAAGCGCCCCUGGCCAUCUUGUUUCCCGAUCACCAUCCUCCAUCCUGUUUCCCCAGUUUCCUUUGUUGCCCAGGUUCUGAUUCUGGUACCCUGGUUCUCGGCCCUACCAGAGUUCUGGUUCCAGAAGGCCCUUGCCAGGUGCCUUGGGCCUAGCUCCCACCUGGG
Molecule: long non-coding RNA, 1173 nt
Filed under: Lynx canadensis (Canada lynx)
Lineage: Eukaryota; Metazoa; Chordata; Mammalia; Carnivora; Felidae
Description: lncRNA (ENSLCNG00005005452.1)
Source: RNAcentral